GACGAACGCUGGCGGCGUGCUUAACACAUGCAAGUCGAACGGAAAGGCCCUGCUUGUGUGGGGUGCUCGAGGGGCGAACGGGUGAGGAACACGUGAGUAACCGGCUCUUGACUUUGGGAUAACUUCAGGAAACUGGGGCUAAGACCGUAUAGGAGCUCCUGCUGCAUGGUGGGGGUGGGAAAGUUUCGGCGGUUGGGGCUGGACUCGCGGCUUAUCAGCUUGUUGGUGGGGGAGUGGCUUACCAAGGCUUUGACGGGUAGCCGGCCUGAGAGGGUGACCGGCCACAUUGGGACUGAGAUACGGCCCAGACUCCUACGGGAGGCAGCAGUGGGGAAUAUUGCCCAAUGGGCGGAAGCCUGAUGAAGCAACGCCGCGUGCGGGAUGACGGCCUUCGGGUUGUAAACCGCUUUCGCCUGUGACGAAGCGUGAGUGACGGUAAUGGGUAAAGAAGCACCGGCUAACUACGUG
RNAcentral lists this ribosomal RNA (468 nucleotides) under uncultured bacterium. RNAcentral describes it as "partial 16S ribosomal RNA". It matches the Rfam family "Bacterial small subunit ribosomal RNA", at positions 28 to 507 of the family's 1533-position model. The record is from RNAcentral.